UUUCCGUAGGUGAACCAGCGGAAGGAUCAUUACUGAGUACUUGCCCUUAGGCCUAGAUCUCCCACUCAAUGUUUACAUACUUUGUUGCUUUCGCAUGCCUGCCUCUUGUGCUACUCGCCUUGGCUAGCUAGUGCAAUCCAGAGACCCAACACUCUGAAUUAUUUAUAUUCUGAAGUACUAUUUUAAUAGUUUAAACUUUCAACAACGGAUCUCUUGGUUCUG
This 222-nucleotide unclassified non-coding RNA is filed under the name plant metagenome. RNAcentral describes it as "partial contains small subunit ribosomal RNA, internal transcribed spacer 1, and 5.8S ribosomal RNA". The record is from RNAcentral.